RNAcentral lists this ribosomal RNA (543 nucleotides) under Candida albicans. Its description in RNAcentral is "eukaryotic LSU rRNA". The stretch from base 174 to 327 matches the Rfam family "5.8S ribosomal RNA". Lineage: Eukaryota; Fungi; Ascomycota; Pichiomycetes; Serinales; Debaryomycetaceae. The record is from RNAcentral.
CUUCCGUAAGGGGAACCUGCGGAAGGAUCAUUACUGAUUUGCUUAAUUGCACCACAUGUGUUUUUCUUUGAAACAAACUUGCUUUGGCGGUGGGCCCAGCCUGCCGCCAGAGGUCUAAACUUACAACCAAUUUUUUAUCAACUUGUCACACCAGAUUAUUACUUAAUAGUCAAAACUUUCAACAACGGAUCUCUUGGUUCUCGCAUCGAUGAAGAACGCAGCGAAAUGCGAUACGUAAUAUGAAUUGCAGAUAUUCGUGAAUCAUCGAAUCUUUGAACGCACAUUGCGCCCUCUGGUAUUCCGGAGGGCAUGCCUGUUUGAGCGUCGUUUCUCCCUCAAACCGCUGGGUUUGGUGUUGAGCAAUACGACUUGGGUUUGCUUGAAAGACGGUAGUGGUAAGGCGGGAUCGCUUUGACAAUGGCUUAGGUCUAACCAAAAACAUUGCUUGCGGCGGUAACGUCCACCACGUAUAUCUUCAAACUUUGACCUCAAAUCAGGUAGGACUACCCGCUGAACUUAAGCAUAUCAAUAAGCGGAGGAAAA